AGUGAACGCUGGCGGUAGGCCUAACACAUGCAAGUCGAACGGCAGCACAGUAAGAGCUUGCUCUUACGGGUGGCGAGUGGCGGACGGGUGAGGAGUACAUCGGAAUCUACUUUUUCGUGGGGGAUAACGUAGGGAAACUUACGCUAAUACCGCAUACGACCUACGGGUGAAAGCAGGGGAUCUUCGGACCUUGCGCGAUUGAAUGAGCCGAUGUCGGAUUAGCUAGUUGGCGGGGUAAAGGCCCACCAAGGCGACGAUCCGUAGCUGGUCUGAGAGGAUGAUCAGCCAAACUGGAACUGAGACACGGUCCAGACUCCAACGGGAGGCAGCAGUGGGGAAUAUUGGAAAAGGGGCGAAAGCCUGAUCCAGCCAUACCGCGUGGGUGAAGAAGGCCUUCGGGUUGUAAAGCCCUUUUGUUGGGAAAGAAAAGCAGCAGGUUAAUACCCCGCUGUUCUGACGGUACCCAAAGAAUAAGCACCGGCGAACUUCGU
Molecule: ribosomal RNA, 491 nt
Filed under: uncultured bacterium
Lineage: Bacteria
Description: partial 16S ribosomal RNA
Rfam family: Bacterial small subunit ribosomal RNA
Source: RNAcentral